RNAcentral lists this ribosomal RNA (2715 nucleotides) under Amphora coffeiformis. RNAcentral describes it as "partial Bacterial large subunit ribosomal RNA". It matches the Rfam family "Bacterial large subunit ribosomal RNA". Lineage: Eukaryota; Bacillariophyta; Bacillariophyceae; Surirellales; Surirellaceae. The record is from RNAcentral.
CGGAUACCUAAACAUCAAAAAUUACGUGGGCGUUUAACGACGAAAUGUUGUAGUGAGUGAAAAAAUUGCUUGCUUUGACCUACAAUCCCCCAUGAUUGGAAAACUAAACCUUUUGGAGAUAGGUUUGUUUUGCUUGCAAAAGUAAAGCAGUAAACCCAGUGAACUGAAUCAUCUUAGUAACUGGGGGAGUAAAUCAAUAGAGAUCCCGUUAGUAGUGGCGAGCGAACGCGGUAUAAGGCUGAAAAUUAAGCUUUUUGUCUAAACAUUUUAGUUGGCCGUAGAAGGUAGAGCCCUGUUAAGACAAUUUUGCUUAAAAAUUUUGUGUGCAGUAAAAUUACACAAGUAGUGUGUUGUUUGAACAAUGAGGGACCACCCUCAAGCCUAAAAAUUUUGGUGCUUGAUAGUGCACUAGUACUGUGAAGGAAAGGUGAAAAAGAAAUUCUAAAAUGAAAUAUUUGAAAAAGAUAUUGAAAUUUAAUGCUAACAAGCAGGUGUAGCUUUGAUCAAAAGUGACACCGUACCUCUUGUAUAAUGGAUCAACAAGUUUAUUUUAAAAGCGAGCUUAAGUAUUUUUAUGUAGGCGAAAUUAAAUUGAGCUUUAAAAAGCACUUUAGUUUUUAAAUUAAGACCCGAAACUGAAUGAUCUAACCAUGAACAAGUUGAAUUUUAAGCGGCAACGCUGAUUGGAAGACUGAACUCGUGUAUGUGGAAAAAUACUGAGAUGAUUUGUGGUUAGGAGUGAAAGGCUAAUCAAAUUCAGAAAUAGCUGGUUUUCUGCGAAAUCUAUUUAAGUAGAGCGUUUAAAAUCUUCGAUUUAAGGUAGAGCACUCGAUAUGCAAUGGGGGCAACAGUUUUACUGAGUGUAUUGAAACUCCGAAUAUAAGUUAAAAGAAUUUAAGCAGACAGACUACGGGUGCUAAGAUCCGUAGUCAAGAGGGAAACAGCCCUGACUAACAGCUAAGGUUUUAAAAAAUAGUUAAGUAAUAAAAGCGUGAAGAAAUAAUGACAGCCGGUAGGUCAGCUUAGAAGCAGCUAUCCUCUAAAGAAUGCGUAAUAGCUCACAGGUCGAGUUUUUUUGUGCCAAAAAUGUAAAGAGAUUAAAAUUAUUUACCGAAGUUGUAGAUUUAAAUAAUAUUAUUAUUUAAAUGGUAGCAGAACGUUCUAUACAUCUAAAAAGGUUUAUAGUAAUAUAAACCGAAGAAAUUAGAAUUGAGAAUGUUGAUAUGAGUAACGAUAAACAGUGUGUAAAACAUUGUCGCCUUACAGUCCCAGGUUUCCAAAAUAAGGCUAAUCCGUUUUGGUAAGUUAAUCGGUCUCUAAAAAAAUAACGAAAGUUUAUUUUGAUGGGUAAAAAUUAAUAUUCUUUUAUUUUUUAAAGUGACAAAAUAUAAAUAUUAUUUUUAUUUUAUGGUAAAUAAAAGUUUUAUAAUGUUUUCAAGAAAGAGCUUAAAAAUUUAAACCGUACUCAAACCGACACAGGUGGACAAAUUUAGCAGAUUAAGGCGCUUGAGCGAAUUAUUGUUGAAGGAACUCGGCAAAAUGACUCUGUAACUUUGGAAGAAGGAGUAGCUUUAUUAAGGAAACUUUUUAGAGCUGUCACAAAAUCGGGGACAGCAACUGUUUAACAAAAACACAGGUCUCUGCAAAUUUGUAAAAAGACGUAUUGAGGCUGACGCCUGCCCAGUGCUGCAAGAUUAAAAGGAAAAGUCAUUUGGCUUUAACUAAAAUUCCCAGUAAACGGCGGCUGUAACUCUGACGGUCCUAAGGUAGCGAAAUUCCUUGGCAUUUAAUUGGUGUCCUGCAUGAAUGGCGUAAUGACUGUCCCACUGUCUCCAGCAUAACCUCAGUGAAAUUGAAUUUUCCGUGAAGAUGCGGAAUAUUUGCGGCUAGACGGAAAGACCCUGUGCACUUUUACUAUACUUAUAUAUUGUACUAAGAACUCUUAUGUGUAGAAUAAGUGGUAGUUGUUUUUAACUAGAUUAAAGUUGAAAGGAAUUUUUGCGCAAGCAAAUGGUUUAAACGUUUUUGAAAUACCACUCUUAAAAGUUUUUAGCACUAACUUUUUAAAACAGUGUAUAAUUGGUAGUUUGACUGGGGCGGCCGCCUCCCAAAAAGUACCGGAGGCGCACAAUGGUAGGUUUGGAUUGAUAAAAUAACAAUUUGUAAGCGUAAUAGCACAUACUUGCCUGACUGUGAGAUUGACGAAUCAAGCAGGGACGAAAGUCGGUUAUAGUGAUCCGAUGACUUUGAGUGGAAAGGGUCAUCGCUCAACGAAUAAAAAGUACGCCAGGGAUAACAGGCUAAUCAUUCCUUAGAGACCUUAUCGACGGGAUGGUUUGGCACCUCGAUGUUGGAUCGACACAUCCUGGAACUGCAUAUGGUUCCAAGGGUGCAUCUGUUCGAUGCUGAAAGUGUCACGUGAUCUGAGUUCAGAACGUUGUGAAACAGUUUGGUCCCUAUCUACCGUAAGUGUUGAAAAUUGAAAGGACUAAACUCUAGUACGAGAGGACCGAGAAAAGUGAAUCCCUGGUGGGUCGAUUGUUGGACCAAAAGCAUCGUCGAGUAGCUAAAUUCGUAAUAAAUAAUCGCUGAAAGCAUCUAAGCGAGAAGUUAACCUUAAAAUAAGUUUUCAAUUAACCGUAAAAGACUAUUACGUAAAUAGGCUCAGAGUAAAAGAGUUGCAAAACUUUUAUCAGCUAAUGAGUACUAAAAAUU